UACCUACGGGGGGCAGCAGUGGGGAAUAUUGCACAAUGGGGGAAACCCUGAUGCAGCAACGCCGCGUGAAGGAAGGCGGUUUUCGGAUUGUAAACUUCUGUUCUUAGUGAAGAAGAAUGACGGUAGCUAAGGAGCAAGCCACGGCUAACUACGUGCCAGCAGCCGCGGUAAUACGUAGGUGGCAAGCGUUGUCCGGAAUUACUGGGUGUAAAGGGAGCGCAGGCGGGGAGACAAGUCAGCUGUGAAAACUACGGGCUUAACUUGUAGACUGCGGUUGAAAAUGGUUUUCUUGAGUGGAGUAGAGG
This 305-nucleotide ribosomal RNA is filed under the name uncultured bacterium. RNAcentral describes it as "bacterial SSU rRNA". It matches the Rfam family "Bacterial small subunit ribosomal RNA", at positions 335 to 657 of the family's 1533-position model. The record is from RNAcentral.